RNAcentral lists this non-coding RNA (46 nucleotides) under Trichobilharzia regenti. Lineage: Eukaryota; Metazoa; Platyhelminthes; Trematoda; Strigeidida; Schistosomatidae. The record is from RNAcentral.
GAACUGUUGAAGUGUUCCAGAAUAGGACGAAACAGCCGUUCAGUGC